This 76-nucleotide transfer RNA is filed under the name Deltaproteobacteria bacterium. RNAcentral's name for it is "tRNA-Lys". It matches the Rfam family "tRNA". Rfam says of the family: Transfer RNA (tRNA) molecules are approximately 80 nucleotides in length. Their secondary structure includes four short double-helical elements and three loops (D, anti-codon, and T loops). Lineage: Bacteria; Pseudomonadati; Myxococcota; Myxococcia. The record is from RNAcentral.
GGGUCGUUAGCUCAGUUGGUAGAGCAGUGGGCUUUUAACCCAUCGGUCCCCGGUUCGAACCCGGGACGACUCACUA